RNAcentral lists this ribosomal RNA (637 nucleotides) under Salmonella enterica subsp. enterica serovar Brancaster. RNAcentral describes it as "bacterial SSU rRNA". It matches the Rfam family "Bacterial small subunit ribosomal RNA", at positions 896 to 1533 of the family's 1533-position model. The record is from RNAcentral. Lineage: Bacteria; Pseudomonadati; Pseudomonadota; Gammaproteobacteria; Enterobacterales; Enterobacteriaceae.
AAAACUCAAAUGAAUUGACGGGGGCCCGCACAAGCGGUGGAGCAUGUGGUUUAAUUCGAUGCAACGCGAAGAACCUUACCUGGUCUUGACAUCCACGGAAGUUUUCAGAGAUGAGAAUGUGCCUUCGGGAACCGUGAGACAGGUGCUGCAUGGCUGUCGUCAGCUCGUGUUGUGAAAUGUUGGGUUAAGUCCCGCAACGAGCGCAACCCUUAUCCUUUGUUGCCAGCGAUUAGGUCGGGAACUCAAAGGAGACUGCCAGUGAUAAACUGGAGGAAGGUGGGGAUGACGUCAAGUCAUCAUGGCCCUUACGACCAGGGCUACACACGUGCUACAAUGGCGCAUACAAAGAGAAGCGACCUCGCGAGAGCAAGCGGACCUCAUAAAGUGCGUCGUAGUCCGGAUUGGAGUCUGCAACUCGACUCCAUGAAGUCGGAAUCGCUAGUAAUCGUGGAUCAGAAUGCCACGGUGAAUACGUUCCCGGGCCUUGUACACACCGCCCGUCACACCAUGGGAGUGGGUUGCAAAAGAAGUAGGUAGCUUAACCUUCGGGAGGGCGCUUACCACUUUGUGAUUCAUGACUGGGGUGAAGUCGUAACAAGGUAACCGUAGGGGAACCUGCGGUUGGAUCACCUCCUUA